UGGUAUCUUUGUCAACGGGCCUCCAAAUAACAAUAGCAAUAUCAUACAGCAGGAGAAAGUAAAAAACUUUGCUUACGUUCAGUUAUAGUGGGUUGCUUACAAUCACUAGCUGAUAAACCAUUCAAUUAGUUUAGGUUUAUUGGUUUACUCAGAAUUAUAUAUGUGGUUUCUUCUGGCUGUUUAUUACGGAAUUUCCUAGGUUUAUUGAUUGCUGUUUGAGGCCUUAGGGUUUUCAGAUAUUCUGGAACUUGCUGUUUUUUGCCUUUUCCCUCCUCUCCUUUUUAUUGGUUUUCUGAGAAGAUAAAUUGUUCCUUGUGGAGUCUUCACCAACUACAGGGUCCCUACCCUCCGCAAGCUUCAACAAACAGUACAUGGUUCUAAGGCCUCUGCUACAUUUGCAGUAACCACUGCAUGCUUCAAUACCAAUACUGUUGAUGACAGGAAAUCAAGCUUCUUUGAGUUUAAACCGCUCAACAGGUUGAAUAUGGUUCCUGCAGACG
Vigna umbellata (rice bean) is the source of this 500-nucleotide non-coding RNA. NCBI's taxonomy places the organism in Eukaryota, Viridiplantae, Streptophyta, Magnoliopsida, Fabales, Fabaceae. The record is from RefSeq and is a predicted model, not a curated record.